GCUGGAGAUAAGAUAGGAGAUGGCUCAAUAGAAGAUGAUUAUUCUGCUCUCCACCAACUUUCCUCUGAUGUAGAAGGAGAUGGAAGGCCUGAGAAUAAAAAAGCUCUACAAUGGUAGGAAGUGGAAGGAGUAAAAAGAAAAAAAAUAGACUGGUAGUAGAAGGGAGGAGCUCUCUUGCACUGACACAGAUGGAAGUCAGACCACUCAUCCCUAACACCCUCCCCUCAAGGGAAGUGCAAAGCAGAAGAUGGAAGGCACUGAAGUCAGAGGAAGGCCCGUAUCCUCUCCUUACUUGAGGCUGGACAUCAGGCAGAUGCAGUGAGAGGCAGAGGUCAUGUUGCAAAGGGAAGUAAAAAUUGGGUAGAUGGAAAUUGGUCCAGGUGCUUCUGCCUUCCCUCAAGGGACACAGACAACAGGAGAUGGAUGGAAAGUGUGACUCUGUCAGGAAGAAGUGACUCCACUUCUCACCUUUCUCAUCUUUUAUCACCUCAACAAAUUAGAGUGUAUAAAUAUAAUAGAAUCUUAUUGAACUGUAAGAAAUGAUGAAAUCUAGGAAGACUGAUAUGAACUGAUGCAGAAUGAAGUGAGCAGAACUUGGAGAACAAUCUAUACAAUAACAACACCAUAGUAAAGACAAACUUUGAAAGCAUUAAGAACUUGGAAGCAUACAAAGACCAGUUGAUGCAAUGCAAUCUGGUCCAGAUUGGUGAUGAAGCACUGACCCAGAGGGGAUCAAUUCAAGGUACACAAUGAGAUUAUCUGUUUCAGACAUCAUCCACAAGUUUGGGAAAGAAACCAUGUGCACCGAAAAUGAUGGCUGUAUACUUGCCUUAUGCUACAGUACUAUCAUGUUUCUCCAGCAGUUUGCCUGCAUAUUGAAUGACGAAAUAAGUAAUGGGGCAUUAGGGACUCUUGAAACAUAUCUAGCUGCGUCCCUCAGCACUUUUCCUUCCAUUCCCUUUACCACUCAAGGCACUUAGGCACUCAGUUAGCUCUUCUCCAUAUGUCUUUUUAGUUUGUGCUCUUAUGCUGGCUU
Molecule: long non-coding RNA, 1036 nt
Filed under: Monodelphis domestica (gray short-tailed opossum)
Lineage: Eukaryota; Metazoa; Chordata; Mammalia; Didelphimorphia; Didelphidae
Description: lncRNA (ENSMODG00000050259.1)
Source: RNAcentral